Molecule: long non-coding RNA, 399 nt
Organism: Mesocricetus auratus (golden hamster)
Lineage: Eukaryota; Metazoa; Chordata; Mammalia; Rodentia; Cricetidae
Exons: 2
Source: RefSeq, a predicted model, not a curated record
GGAGGGACGUCCGGAGAGGAGGGGCGUCUGGAGAGGUUCAGGCCGUGGAAGGCGAGGCACGCCGACAGUUUUGGAGGGUCGGCCAGCGGGACAGCUUACCUCCAGCGCCUGGCCCAGCUCCAGAUCGAAGAGCCCGUACCUGUGGAUUUGUCUUACUGGCUCCUCGAGAAGCCUACGCCUAUACUCUUGGAUGUCUUACUUUCUUCUGAGUUCCAUGCCCCCCAGCACACAUCCUCUCUAUGUAGUUUUGGCUGGGGUAGAACUUGAUAUGUAGACCAAAUUCAUCUUCAACUCAAAGAACUCUGCCUGCCUCUGCUGUGAUUAAAGGUGGCAAUCACCAUAUUUGUAUUGCCUCUCUUAACUCCUGUGCUUAAGUCUAUAUAAAAUAUUUUUUAUUAA